Hipposideros armiger (great roundleaf bat) is the source of this 512-nucleotide long non-coding RNA. RefSeq lists it as uncharacterized. The record is from RefSeq and is a predicted model, not a curated record. The transcript is spliced from 2 exons. NCBI's taxonomy places the organism in Eukaryota, Metazoa, Chordata, Mammalia, Chiroptera, Hipposideridae.
GAACUCGCAGAAAGCAUGCAAAAUCUUGGACUACAAGUCCCAGCAUGCUCUGCACCGCGUCCGGACCGGCCGGACACCAUCGUAGGUGCGGGCCGCAUGAAUGGAGGAGCAUUGGGCGUAAGGCCAAGCCUGCCGCAGUCCACACGGCCCCGGUACCUACUCCCAGAGCGUGCCUCAGUCCUGGCAUCUCAGGACUCUGUCAUCACUCAUCUUGUGCUAUGGCUCUACUGCUCAAUGAAGAAGCAAUAUAUCUUUAAUUCAGGACUCUGCCCAGUGCUAUUCAACUCUAACCUGAGGGCAGUAACACUCAUGUAACUCCUGGUCUGAAUUCAGAACUUCAGGUUACAAGCAAGCUGACCACUGAUUGCUUCAGUGCAAUACGGCAUCUACUGUCAAGGAAAUCAUUUGUUAAACCCUAUUUAGUUACUGAAUCUUCAGGUCCAGGGAUGUUUACAUUUCUGGGUCCAAAUCAGUGUACUUAUGGAAAAUAAAGGCAUGUUUGAAAUUGUUUA